This 1217-nucleotide long non-coding RNA is filed under the name Marmota monax (woodchuck). The record is from RNAcentral. Lineage: Eukaryota; Metazoa; Chordata; Mammalia; Rodentia; Sciuridae.
GGAUCACUGGAGGCAUGAGGGAUGCUUGGGAUGGUCCUGGAUCAUCACAUCUCCUUCAGGACAGUGUUAUUUUCCCUAGGCCUGUGACACAGCAGACUAUUGUCCAGCAACCCCCAGGGCUCAGUCCUUUUCUUUAAACAAUUAUUCAAAUAUUUUGUUGUAAACUCAAAUACUAUUUAUCAGAUGCAAUACUCAGUGACCCCUUAAUCAAAGCUCUGCAUAUUUAUGCCAUUAGAGUGACCUUGAUUUUUGCAUUUUUGAAUAGUUUUUUUAAAAAAUGGGAUUGAACCCAGGGCCAUUUUACCAAUAAGCUAUAUCCCCAGUUCUUCUUAUUGCUUAUUUUGAGACGAUGGUCUUGCCAAGUUGCUGAGGGCCUCACUAAGUUGUUAAGGCUGGGCUGGAACUUGGGAUCCUCCUAUCUCAGACUUCUGAGUUGCUGGGUUUACUGCCCAGCUAAUAUACUUUAUUUUCUAAAAGCAAUUUUAUAUUCACAGAGAAAUUGAGCAAGAAGUACAGAGAGUUCCCAUAUAAUCCUUGUCCUCACAUAUGCAUACCCUCCCAUUAUCAAAUCCUGCCUAGAAUGGGUAUAUUGUUAUAAUUGUUCAGUCUACAUUGACACAUCAGCAUCACCCAAAGUCCAUAGAUUCCCUUAGUAUUCACUCUUGGUGUAGUGCUUUCUAAGAGUUUUGACAUGUGUGUAGUGACAUGUAUCCAUCAUUGCAGUACACAGAGUAGUUUCAUUGCCCCAAAACUCUCCUGUGCUUUGCCUAUCUGUCAUCGCUUCUCUUCCACUAACUCCUGGCAACUUUUAAUUUUUCUUGCCAUCUCUCUGGGCUUAUCUUUUUCAAAUGUCAUGCAGUUGGAACCAUACUAGCCUUACACAGUGGCUUCUUUCAUGUAGUAAUAUGCAUUAAAUUUCUUUCAUGUCUUCUCUAGGCUUGAUUGUUCAUUUUUUUAAUUGCUGACUAAUAUCCCAUCCUAUAGAUGAACUAGAGUUUAUCCAUCCAUCUACCAAAGUACUCAUGGUUGCUUCCAAGUUUUGGCAAUUACAAAUAAAGGUGCUCUACACAUUCAUUUUUGUGGGGCUAUACAAUUUCAAUUCAUUUGAGUGAAUACCAAAAACUGUACAUUCAGUUUGUAAGAGAUUGCCAAAUUGUCUUCCAAAGUGGCAAUACCAUUUUGCCAGUAACAGAGUUCCUGUUGUUCCACAUCCUUAC